AAGAAGGGGUACCGUAUAGUAUGCAAGUCGAACGAACCAAACUGUUGAUUAAAGCUUGCUUUAUGAUUCAGACCUUGGUGAGUGGCGGACGGGUGAGUAACACGUGGGUAACCUGCCCAAAAGUGGGGGAUAACAUUUGGAAACAAGUGCUAAUACCGCAUAACAACUACUUUCACAUGAUUGUAGCUUGAAAGAUGGCUCUGCUAUCACUUUUGGAUGGACCCGCGGCGUAUUAGCUAGUUGGUGAGGUAAUAGCUCACCAAGGCAAUGAUACGUAGCCGACCUGAGAGGGUAAUCGGCCACAUUGGGACUGAGACACGGCCCAAACUCCUACGGGAGGCAGCAGUAGGGAAUCUUCCACAAUGGGCGAAAGCCUGAUGGAGCAAUGCCGCGUGAGUGAAGAAGGUUUUCGGAUCGUAAAACUCUGUUGUUGAAGAAGAACAUGCGUGAGAGUAACUGUUCACGUACUGACGGUAUUCAACCAGAAAGCCACGGCUAACUACGUGCCAGCAGCCGCGGUAAUACGUAGGUGGCAAGCGUUGUCCGGAUUUAUUGGGCGUAAAGAGAAUGUAGGCGGUCUAUUAAGUUUGAAGUGAAAGCCCUCGGCUCAACCGAGGAAGUGCUUCGAAAACUGGUAGACUUGAGUGCAGAAGAGGAAAGUGGAACUCCAUGUGUAGCGGUGGAAUGCGUAGAUAUAUGGAAGAACACCAGUGGCGAAGGCGGCUUUCUGGUCUGUAACUGACGCUGAGAUUCGAAAGCAUGGGUAGCAAACAGGAUUAGAUACCCUGGUAGUCCAUGCCGUAAACGAUGAGUGCUAAGUGUUGGAGGGUUUCCGCCCUUCAGUGCUGCAGCUAACGCAUUAAGCACUCCGCCUGGGGAGUACGACCGCAAGGUUGAAACUCAAAGGAAUUGACGGGGGGCCCGCACAAGCGGUGGGAGCAUGUGGUUUAAUUCGGAAGCAACGCGAAGAACCGUUACCAAGUCUUUGACAUACCAUGAAAAGCUUAGAGAUAAGUCUUUCCCGUUCGGGACAUGGAUACAGGUGGGUUGCAUGGUUGUCGUCAGCUCGUGUCGUGAGAUGUUGGGUUAAGUCCCGCAACGAGCGCAACCCUUAAUUAUCAGUUGCCAGGAAUUCAAUUUGAGCACUUCUGGUGAGAACUGGCCGGUGAACUAUCGGAUGACGUUGCGACCGACGUGCGAGAUCAGUCCAUGACCCCCUCUUAUAUUG
Molecule: ribosomal RNA, 1228 nt
Filed under: Companilactobacillus futsaii
Lineage: Bacteria; Bacillati; Bacillota; Bacilli; Lactobacillales; Lactobacillaceae
Description: bacterial SSU rRNA
Rfam family: Bacterial small subunit ribosomal RNA
Source: RNAcentral